This is a small nuclear RNA of Drosophila teissieri, 197 nucleotides long. RefSeq annotates it as U2 spliceosomal RNA. Lineage: Eukaryota; Metazoa; Arthropoda; Insecta; Diptera; Drosophilidae. The record is from RefSeq and is a predicted model, not a curated record. The transcript has a single exon.
AUCGCUUCUCGGCCUUAUGGCUAAGAUCAAAAGUGUAGUAUCUGUUCUUAUCAGCUUAACAUCUGAUAGUUCCUCCAUUGGAGGACAACAAAUGUUAAACUGAUUUUUGGAAUCAGUCGGAGUGCUAGGGGCUUGCUCCACCUCUGUCGCGGGUUGGCCCGGUAUUGCAUUACCGCCGGGAUCUCAGCCCAACUGAA